Molecule: transfer RNA, 70 nt
Filed under: Sinacroneuria dabieshana
Lineage: Eukaryota; Metazoa; Arthropoda; Insecta; Plecoptera; Perlidae
Description: tRNA-Ser
Rfam family: tRNA
About the family: Transfer RNA (tRNA) molecules are approximately 80 nucleotides in length.
Source: RNAcentral
AGUUAAUUAGCUUAAUGAAAAGCCUAUGUUUUGAAAACAUAACACAGAAGUUUAAUUCUUCUAUUAACUU